Molecule: long non-coding RNA, 310 nt
Organism: Homo sapiens (human)
Lineage: Eukaryota; Metazoa; Chordata; Mammalia; Primates; Hominidae
Exons: 3
Source: RefSeq, a predicted model, not a curated record
AGGAAGUGAAGACUUAUCCAAAUUAAAGAUUGUGCUAAUUUAUUACAACCAUGUAUACUGAAAACAAGCAUGUUGGGGAAGAUUAACGAGCAAGAAUUGAAAUCAUUCACGAAGAGAAGCUUUGGACUAAAACCCAUCUGCCAGAUAAGCCAAUAAAUGUCCCUCUCAUCAAGUGAUUGGGACUGGGAUGGAGCUGGAAUUUGGCCCUAAUGUUGCAUGUGUAAAGAAGAUGGAGAUAUGUCAAGAAGACACAGGAUUCUUCUUGAAAGGAUUCCCACUGGGAAAACUGGGAUAAUUUAAACAUCAAAAU